UUUAUAUUCAAAAAUAUCAAAUGCGGAAGCGAGAUCAAAAUCUCAGUUAACAUCCCUUACACGAAAACCAAAAACGUGCUCAAAAUAUAAAAGAUUAAACUAACAAAAAAAAAAAACUCGAAAGUAAAGCUAUGAGUAUGACUAUGGAGUCUCUAGGCAUCCCCUUCGUCGUCCUCCUGCGGAACGGGCUCGGGAACCAUGUCUUCCUGAUCUGAAAUGAUUAAAUAAGGAAUGAGCUACACUAGCCCAGUAAGGACAUCACGAUAUCUCACCGUCACGGAGGUAAAGG
RNAcentral lists this long non-coding RNA (289 nucleotides) under Carica papaya (papaya). RNAcentral describes it as "long non-coding RNA (CPAP_LNC009747)". Lineage: Eukaryota; Viridiplantae; Streptophyta; Magnoliopsida; Brassicales; Caricaceae. The record is from RNAcentral.